RNAcentral lists this ribosomal RNA (385 nucleotides) under uncultured bacterium. Its description in RNAcentral is "bacterial SSU rRNA". It matches the Rfam family "Bacterial small subunit ribosomal RNA", at positions 30 to 417 of the family's 1533-position model. The record is from RNAcentral.
AUUGAACGCUGGCGGCAUGCCUUACACAUGCAAGUCGAACGGCAGCAGACCUUCGGGUGCCGGCGAGUGGCGAACGGGUGAGUAAUAUAUCGGAACGUACCUUUCAGUGGGGGAUAACGUAGCGAAAGUUACGCUAAUACCGCAUAUUCUGUGAGCAGGAAAGCAGGGGAUCGCAAGACCUUGCGCUGAUUGAGCGGCCGAUAUCAGAUUAGCUAGUUGGUGAGGUAAAGGCUCACCAAGGCGACGAUCUGUAGCGGGUCUGAGAGGAUGAUCUGCCACACUGGAACUGAGACACGGUCCAGACUCCUACGGGAGGCAGCAGCGGGGAAUUUUGGACAAUGGGCGCAAGCCUGAUCCAGCCAUGCCGCGUGAGUGAAGAAGGCCU